UGUUGUGGUAAUGGGCCAACUCUGGUCUAAAUCCCAGGUCCGAUGGCCUGCCUCACUGUAGGACCACCCAUAUAGAAACAUAGAAUAGAAUGCACAUAUACAUUGUUGGGGUAAUGAGCCAACUCUGGCCUAAACCAUAGGUCCAAUGGCCUACCUCACUGUGAGACCUAUAUAAAUAGAAUUUCCAUUAUUGAGUGUCCAAAAACUGCCUCGGUGGGGUCUGGAUGGUAGCACCCUGGGUGUUAGGGUAAUCGGCCAGCCCGAAACUCCGGGUCUUUAUGGCUUUUCCCGCUUCGGCAAAAUGCGGUACCCGCUCGAAAGAAAUGGUUGCCGUUUAUAGUUGAAAUUAUUUAUAUUUGUUGUUUUUAUUGAUCGUAAACAACUGCAUUACAAAUAUGCUCAGUUAUUCCAUUAGAUUAGUUUGCUAUAAACAACAAUUAUGGCAUUGGCCACCAGUUCUCACAAAAGCACAGAAUAUACGAUUAAAUUACUUUCAACGAAUGAAGGAUCUCACUGAUUUUAUAUUUCAUUCUGUUUCUUUAGCGGUAAUAAUACCAGAGUAUACGAAA
Molecule: non-coding RNA, 569 nt
Organism: Ciona intestinalis (vase tunicate)
Lineage: Eukaryota; Metazoa; Chordata; Ascidiacea; Phlebobranchia; Cionidae
Source: RefSeq, a predicted model, not a curated record